UGACGGAUACGUUGAUAUCUC
Molecule: unclassified non-coding RNA, 21 nt
Filed under: Dictyostelium discoideum
Lineage: Eukaryota; Evosea; Eumycetozoa; Dictyosteliales; Dictyosteliaceae
Source: RNAcentral